CCUACGGGUGACAGCAGUGGGGAAUAUUGCACAAUGGGGGGAACCCUGAUGCAGCGACGCCGCGUGAGUGAAGAAGGAUUUCGGUAUGUAAAGCUCUAUCAGCAGGGAAGAAAAUGACGGUACCUGAAUAAGAAGCCCCGGCUAACUACGUGCCAGCAGCCGCGGUAAUACGUAGGGGGCAAGCGUUAUCCGGAUUUACUGGGUGUAAAGGGAGCGUAGCCGGUUAUGCAAGUCUGAAGUGAAAGCCCAAGGCUCCACCCUGGGACUGCUUUGGAAACUGUAAAACUGGAGUGCAGGAGCGGUAAGCGGAAUUCCUAGUGUAGCGGUGAAAUGCGUAGAUAUUAGGCGGAACACCAGUGGCGACGGCGGCUUACUGGACUGUAUCUGACGUUGAGGCUCGAAGGCGUGGGGAGCAAACAGGAUUAGAUACCCUAGUCGUC
Molecule: ribosomal RNA, 440 nt
Filed under: uncultured bacterium
Lineage: Bacteria
Description: partial 16S ribosomal RNA
Rfam family: Bacterial small subunit ribosomal RNA
Source: RNAcentral